This 471-nucleotide ribosomal RNA is filed under the name uncultured bacterium. RNAcentral describes it as "bacterial SSU rRNA". It matches the Rfam family "Bacterial small subunit ribosomal RNA", at positions 9 to 529 of the family's 1533-position model. The record is from RNAcentral.
GAGUUUGAUCCUGGCUCAGAGCGAACGCUGGCGGCAGGCCUAACACAUGCAAGUCGAACGAACUCUUCGGAGUUAGUGGCGGACGGGUGAGUAACACGUGGGAACGUGCCUUUAGGUUCGGAAUAACUCAGGGAAACUUGAGCUAAUACCGAAUGUGCCCUUCGGGGGAAAGAUUUAUCGCCUUUAGAGCGGCCCGCGUCUGAUUAGCUUGUUGGUGAGGUAAUGGCUCACCAAGGCUACGAUCAGUAGCUGGUCUGAGAGGAUGACCAGCCACAUUGGGACUGAGACACGGCCCAAACUCCUACGGGAGGCAGCAGUGGGGAAUCUUGCGCAAUGGGCGAAAGCCUGACGCAGCCAUGCCGCGUGUAUGAUGAAGGUCCUAGGAUUGUAAAAUACUUUCACCGGUGAAGAUAAUGACUGGAGCCGGAGAAGAAGCCCCGGCUAACUUCGUGCCAGCCGCCCGGAAUCUAA